GACGAAGGAUGCAAGCGUUAUCCGGGUUCAUUGGGUUUAAAGGGAGCGUAGGUGGCCUUAUAAGUCAGUGGUGAAAUCUCUGGGCUUAACCCAGAAAUUGCCAUUGAUACUGUAGGGCUUGAGUAUAGAUGCCGUUGGCGGAAUAUGACAUGUAGUGGUGAAAUACAUAGAGAUGUCAUAGAACACCGAUUGCGAAGGCAGCUAACGAAACUAUAACUGACACUGAGGCUCGAAAGUGUGGGGAUCAAACAGG
Molecule: ribosomal RNA, 253 nt
Filed under: uncultured bacterium
Lineage: Bacteria
Description: partial 16S ribosomal RNA
Rfam family: Bacterial small subunit ribosomal RNA
Source: RNAcentral